AAAAAUCAAGAAGUAUUUAAAAUGUUUGGAUUAAAUAAAAGGGUAAAAAAAUGGUUAAAAUAAAUCAUAAGAAGUUAUAAAAAGAAAAUAAAUGAAAUGGCAAUUAUAAAAAAUAAAAGUAGGUGAACUUAACAUUUGCUAAAACCAAGGAUUGAGUCCAUGGCCUGGUGGGAAGCAGCGGAUGCCUCAACCACCCAGCCAUUGGUGACUAGUUGUAAAAUAUAUC
Molecule: long non-coding RNA, 226 nt
Filed under: Lathyrus oleraceus (garden pea)
Lineage: Eukaryota; Viridiplantae; Streptophyta; Magnoliopsida; Fabales; Fabaceae
Description: Pisum sativum (pea) long non-coding RNA (PSAT_LNC023012)
Source: RNAcentral